AACGCACCUUGCGCUCCUUGGUAUUCCGAGGAGCAUGCCUGUUUGAGUGUCAUGAAUUUCUCAACCUGUCUAGCUUUUAUAAAGAUAGACAGGCUUGGAUUUGGAGGUUGCUGGCUUCUCAGAAACCGGCUCUUCUUAAAUAUAUUAGCAGAACCAUUGCUGAUUAUUCUUGGUAUGAUAAUUAUCUAUACCACGGAGAAUCGGUUUCCUUCAUUGGACGGUUUCGCUUCUAACAGGCUUUUCAGACAAUUCUUGACAAUUUUGACCUCAAAUCAGGUAGGACUACCCGCUGAACUUAA
RNAcentral lists this unclassified non-coding RNA (299 nucleotides) under uncultured Entoloma. RNAcentral's name for it is "sequence contains ITS2". The stretch from base 1 to 52 matches the Rfam family "5.8S ribosomal RNA", at positions 103 to 154 of the family's 154-position model. Lineage: Eukaryota; Fungi; Basidiomycota; Agaricomycetes; Agaricales; Entolomataceae. The record is from RNAcentral.